CUAUGCGCCUUGCCAGCCCGCUCAGAAACUCAAAGGAAUUGACGGGGGCCCGCACAAGCGGUGGAGCAUGUGGUUUAAUUCGAUGCAACGCGAAAAACCUUACCUGGGCUUGACAUCUCUCGGAACCCGGUAGAAACAUCGGGGUGCCCGCAAGGGAGCCGAGAGACAGGUGCUGCAUGGCUGUCGUCAGCUCGUGCCGUGAGGUGUUGGGUUAAGUCCCGUAACGAGCGCAACCCCUGCCUUUAGUUGCGACCGGUAACGCCGAGCACUCUAAAGGGACUGCCUGGGAUAACCAGGAGGAAGGCGGGGAUGACGUCAAGUCAGCAUGGCCCUUACGUCCAGGGCUACACACGUGCUACAAUGGCCGGUACAGAGGGAAGCAAUACCGCGAGGUGGAGCAAAUCCCAUAAAGCCGGCCUCAGUUCAGAUCGGAGGCUGCAACUCGCCUCCGUGAAGGCGGAAUCGCUAGUAAUCGCGGAUCAGCAGGCCGCGGUGAAUACGUUCCCGGGCCUU
Molecule: ribosomal RNA, 513 nt
Filed under: uncultured Bdellovibrionales bacterium
Lineage: Bacteria; Pseudomonadati; Bdellovibrionota; Bdellovibrionia; Bdellovibrionales
Description: bacterial SSU rRNA
Rfam family: Bacterial small subunit ribosomal RNA
Source: RNAcentral